RNAcentral lists this ribosomal RNA (772 nucleotides) under uncultured bacterium. RNAcentral describes it as "bacterial SSU rRNA". It matches the Rfam family "Bacterial small subunit ribosomal RNA", at positions 60 to 845 of the family's 1533-position model. The record is from RNAcentral.
AGUCGAACGAGAGAGAAGGAGCUUGCUUCUUCGAUCGAGUGGCGAACGGGUGAGUAACGCGUGAGGAACCUGCCUCAAAGAGGGGGACAGCAGUUGGAAACGACUGCUAAUACCGCAUAAGCCCACGGGUCGGCAUCGACCUGAGGGAAAAGGAGUGAUCCGCUUUGAGAUGGCCUCGCGUCCGAUUAGCUAGUUGGUGAGGUAAUGGCCCACCAAGGCGACGAUCGGUAGCCGGACUGAGAGGUUGAACGGCCACAUUGGGACUGAGACACGGCCCAGACUCCUACGGGAGGCAGCAGUGGGGAAUAUUGCACAAUGGGGGAAACCCUGAUGCAGCGACGCCGCGUGGAGGAAGAAGGUCUUCGGAUUGUAAACUCCUGUUGUUGAGGAAGAUAAUGACGGUACUCAACAAGGAAGUGACGGCUAACUACGUGCCAGCAGCCGCGGUAAAACGUAGGUCACAAGCGUUGUCCGGAAUUACUGGGUGUAAAGGGAGCGCAGGCGGGAAGACAAGUUGGAAGUGAAAUCUAUGGGCUCAACCCAUAAACUGCUUUCAAAACUGUUUUUCCUGAGUAGUGCAGAGGUAGGCGGAAUUCCCGGUGUAGCGGUGGAAUGCGUAGAUAUCGGGAGGAACACCAGUGGCGAAGGCGGCCUACUGGGCACCAACUGACGCUGAGGCUCGAAAGUGUGGGUAGCAAACAGGAUUAGAUACCCUGGUAGUCCACACCGUAAACGAUGAUUACUAGGUGUUGGAGGAUUGACCCCUUCAGUG